This is a long non-coding RNA of Drosophila serrata, 874 nucleotides long. The record is from RefSeq and is a predicted model, not a curated record. NCBI's taxonomy places the organism in Eukaryota, Metazoa, Arthropoda, Insecta, Diptera, Drosophilidae.
GCGUCCCAGUUAUUUUGUUGUUUCUGUGCCAAACAAAAAAAAUGAAUUCCCCGCUUUUGAAAAGUGAAAGUUUGUCGCUCAUAAAGUGGAAGAGUAAUCUGAAAUGUCUGUGCGUAAUGACCGGGACAAUAUGCGAAGGUUUGAAUACUGGACACAGGGACCUAUUAAAGUUCAAGUUUCGGUAUGGGUGAAAAAUCCGGAGAACCCUCUAGCUGCCAUCUUCCAUCUUCAUCUCCGUCAGGGAGGGAGCUUUGUGCUAGCUGAGUUGGCCGUUAAACUGAUUAUGAUUGACUAGGCGGCAGGCCGCACAAUUUAUUGAUGGCGGCCAUCCGCUCCUCCAGUAUCCCCGAGCCCCGAGCUCCACUCACAAAAGAAUCUGCAUCGAAGGCGAUGAUGAAUGCUCCAUCCAGGAGGAGGGCACAACCAAGGGCAACUUUCACUCUCUCUUUUGUUGGCGAUUCCCGGCAACAGGAGGUAUGGAAUUACAUGGGCCGUUCAAUGGGUGAAGAGGCGACAAUUUAGCCCUGAAUUUUUCGAGAUUUGACUCCCGUGACUCGCCUGCCACUUGAAUUUAUAUUCCCUGCUCUCAAAUAGCCAUUAAUAAUUCCGUUUGGCCAUUAAGUGAGACGAGGCGGCAGCAGCAGCCAUAACUCGUGAAGUUUGUCCCAGUUUUGAGUUGAUUUAUUUUCCUAUACUAAUCCCGUUUUGCUUCCUAUUCACUCCACGUGCCAAUUCGCCACAGGAUAAGCCCAUUCUUGCAACUCCUGGCACAUUCGUUUCAAUACGAACUUCCUUUACUGUAAAGCCGCCUUGACUAAUGGACCUCCGGCACUUGGCCAGGUGCAGACUGAAAUGGCCAGGAUGGCAGGUGCAA